Molecule: ribosomal RNA, 497 nt
Filed under: uncultured bacterium
Lineage: Bacteria
Description: partial 16S ribosomal RNA
Rfam family: Bacterial small subunit ribosomal RNA
Source: RNAcentral
GACGAACGCUGGCGGCGUGCUUAACACAUGCAAGUCGAACGGCGAAGCGCCUUCCUUUUUGGCGGGUGUGGAUGAGUGGCGAACGGGUGAGUAACACGUGAGUAACCUGCUCCCUUCUUCUGGAUAACCGCAUGAAAGUGUGGCUAAUACGGGAUACUCUGGGUCUGUCGCAUGAUGGGUCUGGGAAAGAUUUUGUUUCGGUGUGGGAUGGGCUCGCGGCGUAUCAGCUUGUUGGUGGGGUAAAGGCCUACCAAGGCGGCGGCGGGUAGCCGGCCUGAGAGGAUGGUGAGGCACACGGGAACUGAGACACGGGGCAGAGCCCGACGGGAGGCAGCGGGGGGGAAUAUUGGACAAUGGGCGCAAGGCUGAUCCAGCCAUACAGCGUGGGUGAAGAAGGCCUUCGGGUUGUAAAGGCGUUUUGUUGGGAAAGAAAAGCAGCAGGUUAAUACCCCGCUGUUCUGAGGGUACCCAAAGAAUAAGCACCGGCUAACUUAGUG